UCGCUACUACCGAUUGAAUGGCUUAGUGAGUACCACGGACUGGAGCGUUUGGUAGGUUCUCCUGCUAUUUCGUUCUGGAAAGUGUUUCAAACUUGAUCAUUUAGAGGAAGUAA
RNAcentral lists this ribosomal RNA (113 nucleotides) under uncultured eukaryote. RNAcentral describes it as "partial small subunit ribosomal RNA". It matches the Rfam family "Eukaryotic small subunit ribosomal RNA", at positions 1676 to 1785 of the family's 1831-position model. The record is from RNAcentral.